UCGCCUCCCCUCCCAACGGCGCCCUUCCUCCCCGCACGCUACGACGGCCGAGACGAACGCGCGGCUUCCUCCCCACCAACGGCGCCCUUUCCAAAAGCCUCGACCCGCUGCUCUCGCCGAGAUCCCGCGCGUAGCACGCGCGGCUUCCUUCCCAGGCUGGCGAGAUGCCUCCUUCUACGCUCGCGCAUGCACUAUGCCCCUGUCGUUGUCCACCUCCCACGCCCACGCAUGCACCCAUCCCCUCGUCACGCAAACCAUAGUCUCCUCCGCCCCCGUGCUCGCCACCGCGUCGACUUCGGUGGAGUCCAGCGAUAGGGCGAGGUCGUACCCCGACGACUCCCCCCCCCCCGACGUGUCGUCCUAGCCCGCACGCUCCGCCUCUGGCACCGUUGCACACCACGCCAUCCUCACCCUUCAACUCCUAAACUGUCCAGUGGGAGACGAUGCCGCCCUCGGUUCGCGAUGCCGCCCACUCCCACACGUCGUCGCGCGAAGCCGGCGCUCACUUCGGGCCAGAUCUACCUGCCCGUGUGGUGUUGUGCGUACGACCACCUCGUGAAGAUGCUGCAACAGGCGUACGCGCAGGUCGAGGAGCUCUCCGUCGAGCGCGAGCACCUCGUCAAUGAGCUCUAGCUUCUACAGAGCCGCUUCCACAAGCGCAAGAUCUGCCAGGCCUGCCUCCAGAAGGACGAGGAGAUCAGGAAGAGAGUCGUAAAGGCUGAGACGGCGAUGCGUCUUGGCGGCAAGGAGCUUCAGAUUCACUGCUGCGAGGCUGUUCCUUAGCCCCAGCUUCAAUUGUUCCUCAUUUAGUUUAUUGAAAUCUGAAUUAUUUGGAGCUAAUUUGUACAGUUUAUACAUAGAGCACCCUUGAAAGCCACAUUCACAUGAAAGCAGUAUACACAGAGCACUUCAAUUGAAAGCUGCUGCAUUGUACAGGGAAUAUGGAAUUCUGGAUUCCUAUAUAUCGUAACUCCUUUGCUGUUGCAUAUGCAUUCCAGUUUCAGUUUGGAGUUACAAAACGAAUUCAAUUACAGGUGUGCUUGUUCAGUUAUAUAGGGGGGGAAACUGUUUGUGCCAGAAGUAAUAUACUGAAUUUUGUAGCUGCAUUGUUCACCUUAUAUCGUUUUGCUAUGGUCAAAUCUCUUCUCACCAUUGGGCUUGUGAAUUUCAUGUUCCGGGUGAUGUGUCAUGCCUAGCAGCUGAUUAUAUUCUCAGCGUGCAUGUCAUCUCACUUUGCCUGUGCAGCAAGUGUACUGAGUCUGAUUGAUGCAUCUUUAGUUAGCUGUAAACUUACAGAGGCAAUAUGGGAGCGGUGAUUUCACUGUUUCGCCCGAAUCCAUAUAAAAGUGAGUCGGACCGGGCCAAAAAACGUGCUUUGGGCUGGGCUUCAGGCUUUCUGUAUACUGAUGGUGCAUCGACUGCAGAAGGAUGAAGCGGAGCUAUGCAUGCUGGUUCUGAAUUUAUCAAUAGACGUAUAUGUUUUUUUGUGGGGCUUCAUUGUAUCCAUAAUUUCAUAUCUAAGCAUUUAUAGUUAGCGGGCCUUCUGCUAAUCUUUGCUACAUUAAGCAUUUACCUAAUAUCGUUGGCCAUACUGCCUAAUUAUUCAGUAAAAGUGUGCCUGUACAUUAUGUCUUCAAUUUGCUGCUCCAUACAUCUACGUCGACGCUUAUAUUCAGCCUGAUUGGAAUUGUUGGCUGAUGCAACGUUGCUGAUGCUGUUGUAGCUAGACUGCAUGUAAGUACUAUGCUUUGUAGUACAGAAUGAGCCCGAUCUGGUGAGUUUUUUUGUUUCAACUAAAUAGGAGCUACUUAAUCAAGUAAAUGGGGAUUUCAGAUUGUUGUGGUGUUCCUAGAAAUUAUAAUAGAUUUCCUAUUUUAUGUUAUAAAAUAUGGUAUUUCAAAGAAAACCUUUUCAAACCAGGAAGUAUAAGGAAAGGCUUUGUUUUGGAAUUGAAAUCGCAAGGACAUAUUUUCACCCCAACAUGCAUAGUUUUUUAUGUUCACAUGAGAGGUAGAAACUAUAAUAUUAUAAAAAUAAUAACUGAGGUCUUGGAAAGCUAACUUUGGCAUAUUGCUAGGUUGUAAAUUCUUAGAUGCUGGAGUCUUCUUGAUUCUUUUAAUAAUUUGCCCGUGUUUAUUGCAGAUGGAUGGAUUUGAUCAAACAGUGAAUGUGAAGGUUGUAAUGGCAACUAAUAGGGCACAUACUCUAGAUUCUACUUUGUUGCGGCCAGGUAGACUUGACAGGAAAGUUGAGUUCUCUCUUCCUGAUUGGCGGUAGAAGAGGCCUGUGUUCCAAGUAAGUUGUCUUUUUGUGUGAAACUGUGAACUAAUUGAUAGGCAUUAUAUUGGGUUCUUGCGAAGUAGCAUGACUUGCAUAUUUUAUUAAUUUGCUGAAGUGUUGUAUAAUAUAUUGCAUUCGCAUAUGAUGAAACUUCCAUGGAUUGCUUCAGGUAUUGUUAUUAAGGUCUUUUUCAUCUCAUGCAAAUAACUAUUAAGCUGCUCAAAUUUCUUUAUUUGGUAAUUAAUUAAAAUUUUCAACCAUGUCAUAUUGCAUACAAAUUGCCAACUUUUUUUUGCACAUAUGCGCAUGCUCAAUUGUGAUAAUGUCAUAUGGUCUGUCAAGGAUUUGCGGUCAAUGCAAACUAAAUUGUUUUCUUCUUUAUAUGUUUUGACUUGAUUUUUCGUAUUUGUCAUUGGGAUCAUUUUUUCUCAACUAUUUUGCUGGCUAUUGUUUGAAAUCAGGUAUGUACUACUAAGAUGAAUUUGAGUGACGAGGCUGAUUUGGAAGAUUAUGUUUGCAGACUGGAUAAGAUCAGUGAUGCUGAUGUUGAGUUGGUUUCAUGGCACAGACCAAAAAUUUUAUGCAUUUGUUGUUUUCUAACAAUUGUAUUGCUAGGGACUUUUGUCCUGCGCUGGCCAAAGCUGUCAAAACUAUGAAAAAGGCAGAGAAGCUGCUCCUUAUAUAUAGUAAAGCCAUUACCAACAGUUGGAGAGGAAGGUGUUCUGAUGAGCAUCAUCUUGUUCUGCAUCAUCACUAAUCAACUUGUUAUGCACAGUGUCCGAUGUGCCUGUCUCAACUCGAUUGCUAAGGCAUAUAAUUGACCUAAAAAGGCACUUCAAGCGGGUAGGAAAAUUCAAGGUCGUUCUCAAGUACUUCCAAGUCGGUACGGUCGUUGAGCCUGCAUCUGAGUUCUACUCAAGUAGGCUGAAAAAUAGGGAACGCAAGGCAACAUUGGUUGACGAGCUGUUAUCAGAUCAAUCUCUGAAGAGCUACAGAGUCAUUCAUGUUGGUGGGCGUCUUGGAUGAACUACAUUUUCUUCAACAAAGAUGGAGCUCAUGCAGAUUGAUUUAGUCCCUUUUUGCAAUCGCCUUUGUUGCAGCAGGCAGCUACGUGCCCACGUUUGGCGAGGCGCCAUUUCCGGCCACCGGCCACGUCGCCGCGCGCAGGAGAGAAGCUAGGCACUACAUGAUGUCAGCCGACCAAGAUUUUUAAAAAAAGAUACGAAAGCUUGCUACAAAAUAAACCGGUCCAGUCACAAGCUAGCUAGCUAGCCAGAUUAAGUCGAUGCCGCACUGCUUGUAUAUGCAUUGGAUUCCAUAUUGUUCUCUUCAGAUGGACAUCAAAUGUUCUGUUCAUUAAUUAAGGUUAAUCAGUGGCAUCCUAUGUGGAAUCGUCCCUGCUUACAUGCAUAUAUAGUGCGUGCGUGCAUUAUAUGUAUCCAUUCCACAUGCAUGCAUCUGUUUCACCAUCUUUAAUUUGGAUGCUUAUGCAUGCAUGCUUCUUUA
Zea mays is the source of this 3786-nucleotide long non-coding RNA. RefSeq lists it as uncharacterized. The transcript is spliced from 7 exons. Lineage: Eukaryota; Viridiplantae; Streptophyta; Magnoliopsida; Poales; Poaceae. The record is from RefSeq and is a predicted model, not a curated record.